UAUGGUCACAUAUUUCAGUGUAUAUAGAAUGCAUGUACUAGUGUAUAUAUACACAGUAUAUAUGCACUUAUCAAGGAGCUAGGGGUGUAUGUGCAUGAGCAUAGCAGUGUAUAUAUACAUUCAUAAUUGUAUAUAACUGAUAACAAGCAACUAUAUACACGUAUAAACAUAUCAGUUUAUACAUAUCGUAUAAAUACAACAGUCCAUAUAUAACAUACACAUAUGUGUAUUAUAUAUAUCUGGGAGUGUGUGUUAGUGUGAGUGUGUGUGUGAGUGUGAAUGUGAGUGUGAAUGUGUGUGUGUGAGUGAGUGUGUCUGUGUGUGUGUGAGUGAGUGUGUAUGUGUAUGUGUAUGUGUGUGUGAGCGUGUAAGUGUGUGUGGGUGUAGUAUAUAAAUCAGUGUACAUAUACGUUCGUAACUGUAUAAAUUGAUAAUAAGUGUAUAUAUGGUCAUACACAUCAAUGUAUAUAAAAA
RNAcentral lists this long non-coding RNA (474 nucleotides) under Amborella trichopoda. RNAcentral's name for it is "long non-coding RNA (ATRI_LNC004337)". Lineage: Eukaryota; Viridiplantae; Streptophyta; Magnoliopsida; Amborellales; Amborellaceae. The record is from RNAcentral.